Molecule: ribosomal RNA, 253 nt
Filed under: uncultured bacterium
Lineage: Bacteria
Description: partial 16S ribosomal RNA
Rfam family: Bacterial small subunit ribosomal RNA
Source: RNAcentral
UACGGGGGGGGCUAGCGUUGUUCGGAAUUACUGGGCGUAAAGGGCGCGUAGGCGGUCUACUAAGUUGGAUGUGAAAUCCCUCGGCUUAACCGGGGAACUGCGUCUGAUACUGGAUGGCUUGAGAUUGGGAGAGGGAUGCGGAAUUCCGGGUGUAGCGGUGAAAUGCGUAGAUAUCUGGAGGAACACCGGUGGCGAAGGCGGCAUCCUGGACCAACACUGACGCUGAGGAGCGAAAGCCAGGGGAGCAAACGGG